This 77-nucleotide transfer RNA is filed under the name Rhizobacter gummiphilus. Its description in RNAcentral is "tRNA-Arg". It matches the Rfam family "tRNA". Rfam says of the family: Transfer RNA (tRNA) molecules are approximately 80 nucleotides in length. The record is from RNAcentral. Lineage: Bacteria; Pseudomonadati; Pseudomonadota; Betaproteobacteria; Burkholderiales; Sphaerotilaceae.
GUCUCGUUAGCUCAAUGGAUGAGAGCGCCGGUCUACGAAGCCGGAGGUUGCAUGUUCGAGUCAUGCACGAGGCGCCA